RNAcentral lists this ribosomal RNA (468 nucleotides) under uncultured bacterium. RNAcentral's name for it is "partial 16S ribosomal RNA". It matches the Rfam family "Bacterial small subunit ribosomal RNA", at positions 28 to 507 of the family's 1533-position model. The record is from RNAcentral.
GACGAACGCUGGCGGCGUGCUUAACACAUGCAAGUCGAACGGAAAGGCCCUGCUUUUGUGGGGUGCUCGAGUAGCGAACGGGUGAGUAACACGUGAGUAACCUGCCCUUGACUUUGGGAUAACUUCAGGAAACUGGGGCUAAUACCGGAUAGGAGCUCCUGAUGCAUGGUGGGGGUUGGAAAGUUUCGGCUGUUGGGGAUGGACUCGCGGCUUAUCAGCUGUUUGGUGUGGUAGUGGCUUACCAAGGCUUUGACGGGUAGCCGGCCUGAGAGGGUGACCGGCCACCUUGGGACUGCGAUACGGCCCAGACUCCUACGGGAGGCAGCAGUGGGGAAUAUUGCACAAUGGGCGGAAGCCUGAUGCAGAAACGCCGCGUGCGGGAUGACGGCCUUCGGGUUGUAAACCGCUUUCGCCUGUGACGAAGCGUGAGUGACGGUAAUGGGUAAAGAAGCACCGGCUAACUACGUG